GAACACACCAAGCAGCUAUCAGUGUGAACUAUCAGGUUGUCACCUUAUUUCAUCCAGGAGGUAAGCACAUGGCAAGUCCAUGCCUUUCCUAUCAAUCUAUCUGAAAAUCAGAAUUCAGAAAAGAGACGGUUAUCCCUGGGACAUGUGUGAAUUAUUCUUGGCCUGGCUCAUGCUCCAUCAUUUCUCAAGGAUUUCGGCUCCCAGCCCACUGACUCUCUCCAGUCCUAUCUUGUAUGUCCUGGAGAUUUUAAAAUACAGUAAGCACGCUUUUUGGAACACCUCAUUUCCACUGCCACACCGUAUCCACCUGCCCCACGGUCUUAUACUAGACUUCGUUAUUACCAAUAAUUUCAAUCCCACCAUAACCUCAGUUCCCACCACCUCCUGCCUUUCCAGCUUACCCACUAGAACCUCAAUUCCACUUAGCCAUGGACCCCACCAGAUCCUGCCAUCUGCUGACGUUAUCUUUUCUUCACUGGCCUCACUCCUCCUGCUCCCCUUCUUACCCACCUUCAAUUUCAUGGCCAGUCAUUGUGGUCACCCCCUUGUACACGUCUUCAAUUUCUUAUCUUUUUGCUUUGCCAUAGCAAGAUAUGAGCUGAGGAGCAUAAGGCAACUGGCAGAGGCAACAAGACCACCACAGUGUAGACAGAGCUCGCUCUGUCACAAUCGUAGCUCACUGCAGCGUCAAGCUCCUGGACUCAAGCGAUCCUCCCACCUCAGCCUCCCAAGCUGCCUGGACUAAGGCACACACCACCUUGCCCAGAUCCGCAUAUACAUUCUAAUAUGUAUACAUAUUUUUUGUACACCCUUUUAUCCCAAAUGGUAACAUAAUAUUGUUUUGCACUUUGCUUUGAUACUUAAUAAAUCAUUUGAAGUCUAUUUCCCUCUCUAUCCCUACAUGUGCAAGACUGAAACUGGAUUUUUAAAGUCCUGUGCUUUUAUCAGAGCCUGUCCCUGGAUGACGGCCUUUGGUUAAGGUGGCUGAAGCUGGGGCCAUGGGAUGCUAAUGCUGGAAGACUUAGAGAUCAUGGGGUCAGCCUCCCCCACUGCAGGUGAGUACACAGGUGGCUACAGAAGGGAGGUGAUCUCAUUAAACUACUGCUGCCAGCACUAGCCCCAAGAACAGUUGAGUGAGCCCAUAGAUGGUGGCAGAUUUUGGCAGCCAGCCCAGAGUGCCUCAGCUCAGUGCCCUGGGCCACAGCCUGUUAGGGAGAACCCCAGGCCUGGCUUCAGUUCCUCUUAAUCAGAGAGAAAUCUGGCCCAUAAUGACCAAGUUCAUGUUGAGAAGCACCUGGGCCUUUGUUCCAGCCUCUUCCCUCUUCCCCAGCCUCCCCUUUAUGGUGGUAAAGUGCCCCUAAAGCCAGUCCAGGAAGAGCAGAAGAGAGCAUCAGAGGCUCCGCAGUAGAUCCAGGGGUCCACUCCCUUCUCUGGGUCUUGAUCCUCCAAAUUUCCCCCGUUUACAUGGUAAAUAACUCAAAGUUAUCCUUGAAAGGAGCUUCCAUAACAUGAAAAUUCAAAGAAGAUGUAAAGUAACCUUCCUUUCUGAAAUAGAAUUACAUUUAGGGAGAACAUCUUAUAUAGAUUUAACCAUGAGGCUGAAAGGCGGAAGGACAGGAUUUCCCCUUGGGAAGCCCUGAAGGAGUUCAGGAUAGGAGGGACAGAUUAGAUUCCAUUUUUGCAGGAUGCUUUAGGGAUGGUUUUACUUGAAGAUCAGAGAUGGCCCGAAACUCAGUGGUUUAGAGACUUUUGCCAUUUGGUAAAUGAGCAAAACUUUACACACAAAAAAAUUAAGGGCCAACAAAAGGCUGACAACUUCGUAUUCUGCAAUUAAGGAUAUAUGUGUGGUAGAUAGAGAUAAAGAAAUACUGUUUGCUUUCGCUGUUGUUUCACAAAGAAAGGACUUUUAUAUGUGUAUGUAUAUAUUGAUUUUUAACUUCCUUUUUUACUUUUGGGGGUCCAUGUGAAUGCCUAUUAUAUAGGUAAACUCAUGUCACAGGGGUUUGUUGUACAAAUUAUUUAAUCAUCAAGGUAUUAAACCUAGUAUCCAAUACGUAUUUUUUCUGCUCCUCUCCUUCCUCCCACCCUCCACCUUUAAGUAGACCCCAACAUCUGUUUCCUUCUUUGUACUCAAGAGUUCUCAUCAUUUAGCUACCACUUAUAAGUGAGAACAUGCAGUAUUUGCUUUUCUGUUCCUAUGUUAAUUUGCUAAGGAUAAUGGCCUCCAGCUCCUCCAUGUUCUUGCAGAGGACAUGAGCUCAUUCUUUUUUAUGAUAGCAUAGUAUUUCAUGAUGUGUACGUACCACAUU
Callithrix jacchus (white-tufted-ear marmoset) is the source of this 2309-nucleotide long non-coding RNA. The record is from Ensembl. Lineage: Eukaryota; Metazoa; Chordata; Mammalia; Primates; Cebidae.